This 4333-nucleotide long non-coding RNA is filed under the name Acanthaster planci (crown-of-thorns starfish). RNAcentral's name for it is "uncharacterized LOC110984256". Lineage: Eukaryota; Metazoa; Echinodermata; Asteroidea; Valvatida; Acanthasteridae. The record is from RNAcentral.
GGUGUUGCCAGCACUGUCACAAGCAAUGGGAACCUGAUGGUGCCCUGUUCAUGUUAGUGCUAAUACUUCGCAGGAAAGGGGAAUAAUCGCCUUCCUUCCUCAUGGAUUUGCAGCUAAGUGUGGGGGAGAGACAGUUCUGUUCUGAUAUUUUGUGUAUUAUUUUGCUAGUUCGGCCUUAAGAAAAUGUGGCCGCGAGUACAGGUAUCACGAAUUGUUGGCGACAUGGGAUAUACGUGCUUUGACGUGACUUGUUUGGACAACACCAAUUCAGACACAAGCUGGCGACGGUUUGCUCACUAGCAGGGAGAUGGUAUCUAUUGGAUCUAAGGGUAUGGACGUAUAAAGCAGGAGGAGGCGAGGGGAAGAUGAGUGGCCACUCGACACAUAGAUGUGCCUAACACAUCACUGUCACACAUCUGAUGAGCAGAUGUACGAUCCUGACGAUGGAGGAAGCGGGCAUUCACGACUGAUCAGUUAACUUGAAAGAGCAAAAAAAAAACCAACCUGGGAAUAGGCCGAAAUGACCGGACACAGGACUCUGACUGUUUUGUUUUUAUAUUGAUGUCUUCAGUAAUUCCAACCCUCCUGGAUCUACCAAGCGGAUAAACUGAAAAUAACCACUCAAACUCUUUGCAGCGUCCUUAGCAUUAGAGGGAAAAGUCAUCCAAACGAACCGUUUUGAGACACCGAAAGGAGACGAAGAGAUGGCACGAAUGAGUACAUGCGGACUUUCCAAUAACGCUAUGAAGAAGAUUAAGUGGGCGUUAGGAUUCUAUCGUCAAUGGCAAGGUCAGCGCAUCCAGUGAGCCAUCAAUAUUCGUCUUGAGGAUAUGACCAAAGAUGAGCUUAAGUAUUCGAUCGCAAGAUUUCUGUGCGAGAUAAACAAACAAAACGGAGAGAAAUUUCCAGGAGCAACACUUCACAAACUCAUGAUUUGUCUUCAGCUUUAUUUUGACACCAUGAAUAAGGCCUACAAAUUUCUGCAAGAUCCUGACUUCUUACUGAUCAAGAAUACACUGGAUGGACUUUAUGAAGGAUCGUGCCAAGGAGGGUAUGGGGAUUCAACGUAAGCAAGCUGAGGUUAUAACCUUGGAGGAGGAGGAACUAAUGUAGUCCGCUGGCGUUCUAGGAAGCGAUAACCUGACCAGGUUUUUGAACGCACUGAUUUAUCUCAUUGGAUUAAACCUUUGUACUACCUGGGGGUCAAGAACACAGGAAUCUACGACACCACAAUUCGCAGCUUUCUGUUCAGACGGGGACGGUGGGGAGUUUCUUCGAUACGUUGAAGAUGUAUCCAAGACAAACCAAGGAGGGCUAAAACGCCGCCAAAUUAAGUCCACAGUUUUUGAGGCUCAUGAAAACAAAGCCAAUCCGUCCCGCUGCAUUGUGAGACUGUAUGAAAAGUAUCUUCAGCACUGUCCAGCUGACCGAGUAACAGACGCCUUUUACCGUAGACCUCUGGCUAAUCCUAAAGGCGAUGUGCGGUCCACUGCACAGCAAUUGGGCCGUCAUAAACUUUCCUCUGUCGUGUCAGAUUUUUGCAAAAGUGCAGGUAUUCUGGGACAUCGCACAACUCACUCCCUCCGUGCAAGUGCAGCAACUCGGAUGUACGAGGAGGUAGAUGAGCAACUUAUCUGCAUAGAGACCAGACACAGGUCCAACGCAGUGAGAUGAUACAAACGCAUCAGUGACGCACUCAAACGCAGGGUCAACUGUGUGGUUCAGGGUAUUCCAACAGAAGAGAAUACAGGCAAGAAAAGGCCUCCUCGACUGGGACUGCUGCAGUGCAUCAUAAUGAGCGCGAAAGAAAUAUUGCACUGACCCUGAAUUUAAACAAUUAACAUCUGCUAUUUACAUCAUGUAUUUUUGUACAAAAUGCGUAAACUGCAUGUAUUGAUAAACCGUACACCAUAAAAUUAAUGAGUUUAAGAAAAAUAGGAUUUUACUAAAUCUGUCUCGCAUAAUCCAAAUUACUGUUUACAAAUCAGCCGGAGCUUUGAAACAUAAAAACAUGAGACUUGUGAAGCUUGUUUAUAGUUUGGUAAAGUGCACAUUGGAACAAAUGGUACGUUUACAUCUUUAAUAAAUUCUAUCAUUAUUGGUACAAAAAUUAAGUUUGUAAUGUUUUAAGAAUGAUUUCCAUUGAACAUUCCUCCAAAAAUAAGUAACCAAAAACUUCAUUAUUUUGUAGGAAUAAAGUGGUGGAGACGUUGCCCUUCCAAAGAAUGGAGAGAUGAUGUCUCCAUCGCUCCAUUCGUACAAAAUAAUGCAGCGGCAAAACAAUACGGUGACGUCACGGGAUGGAGGUUAAAUAAUGGAGAUCAAUGGUGCAACCAUACACAGACACACGUGCGCACGCGCUUUGUUCCCGAAAGACCUUGAUAUUUUGAAGUAGAGCCUGAAAGUUGACCUUGAUGGCGCGCUUCAGGGAUCCUUGGAUAGAAAAAAAAGGUAAAUGUUUAGAACUCGUAAAAUUCUGUCUUUAAAUUCCUUCUUAAAAUCUCAACUUUCAAAAGGCCUUUUGUAAAAUGUUUGCUAGCAUAUGAAUUUAUAGAAACUGAAAAAAAUACCUGUCCUAAAAGACAAAUACAGUGCCAAAGAUUGACCUAUCACUUCCGAAAAUAAUGCACGAAGAACAAUCCAAUGCUGUGGUCUCGAACGCAGGUGAACAGUUAUGGAAUUAUACUUUAUGGUAGUCUUUUAGUAAUAGCCAAAAUAAAAACGGACCAAAUAUGUUAACGAAUUUGUAAUUAAUAACAAAAGAUUCUAAGGUCUAAUCUAACCAUGGAAGAAACUUUGCUGACAAGAACUGUGUCAGGUGAACUCCACUGAAUCUAGAACCCAUCCACUGCAGGUAGAUAAAUCUGGCCGACGUUGUAUACAGUCUAAUUUUGACGUAAGCUAACAACUUCAAAGUCAGGCAGUAAAAAAAAAACGUUUAAACCCUGAGACGGAGCCCAAGUCAGAAAUUGGAAAACGUCCCAUGGAAUGAUAUUCCCGGAAGUGAAAGGUCGUUAAUGAAAUUCGUUUUUUACCCAUCUCCAUGAGACUUUUCAAAAAUUACUUGAGGACAAAGGAGACAUUCCCAUGUAAGUGUUUCUUGGGGUGGUUUCAUUUAGAAAUAUUACCGUGUCCUCUUUUCUUCCUCUAUCUAACAUAUUUUCUCGAAGAAAGAAAACAAUCGAAGACAUCAUGUACUGGUCUACACUUUUCCGUCUUUGUUUCGUGAAAGGAAGGCUCCGCGCUAAUUUGUUUGUCUCCAACAGCUAUGCCUAAGACAGCACAGACUUCAUUCCUGAUAUCAACGAGCAUACUCUCAUUGUAAAAACGAUCAGACUAAGGAUGGAUUUUAUGAAUUUGUAAUGUUAUUCUACGUUUUGUGUCAAAGAGCCCCUUGAAGGUUAUGAUAUAUUUCAACUGACCGCUGUUAUAUUAAGUCUAUUAAGAUGCAGUAAAAGUAUCUGCCAUAGAUGGGAACAGUGAAAUUCAGAUGAAACAGAAGCCUGCAUAGUAAUUACUAAUUAAAAUCCAAGGAUUUAUAUGAAUGUUGCAUUUUGACUUGGGCAAAAAUCCUCAGAAGUUAAUUCAUCCCGGCUAACAACUGCUUCCAUUUAAUACUAACACGAACACUGACUGCCAUGCUCACUAUUCAACCAUCCACCAGGGACACAGUACUAAAGCAGCCCAAGGCAAAUGUAACGUUCAUACUUAGAAAUUCUUUAGUAAAUGUGUAAAAGCAGUAGGUGCAAAACUACAUCCUCUGAGUUUUAAUGUUCCUGGCGCCUCAAUGUAAUGUUUAACACCGAAACUACACUGCAGUUUGAAGUAUCUUGUAAGCUUGGAAAUUGAAUUCUUUAUGGUUGUGUGAGAUAUGUCACAUAAUGGGAAAAAGCACGGACGACUUCGUCUGGAUGUCGUCGGAAAUGGCAUUCCAUAAACGGGGACUGAAAAAGCGAAGGGUGUUCACUGAGUAGACGGCGCGAGUGAAGGGAAUAAACAUAAUUGCUAUGGGAUCUAGUGGAGUAACCAUGGAUUUCAUUGACCGAAGUGAAGUACGAAGAAAACGUACUAGGAAGAAGAUUUAUUGAUGUAUAUGAACAUGAAGAUAUCAGUGUGUAAGUUGUGAUGUCGGUAACAGUGAGGGUGCUUAAACGUGCAAAAGGGGUGAAGUGUGGGCCCCGAUAGUGAGACCAGGUGUGGGUACCAAUCGCCCUUUUUUUGAGUGAUAAGCGAAGCGUUCAAAUUUGUUAUUCGUUGUGCGUGCCCAAACGAUGUUGUCAUAACUUACAUACGGAAGAAUAGAGAAAUGUACUAUAACACCAAAGAGGUACUC